UUCACUUCUUUUCAGGCAGCGUGGGGUAAACGUAGUUUUGUGAAGUUUCUUUUUAGAAACAUGUAUACACAUAGAUACUUUUUGGAAAGAAGAGAAGCUUAUCUUUACUUUUUAAAAACUUUUUUGUAUGGUUACUAGGCUUUUUAACAGAUUGUUUUGCUCCUGAAUAUUUAGUUAAUGUUUUCACAUGAAUUUGUAGUCGAAGGCAUGUCGUGUCCGCUUUUUUUGUUAUUCAGACAGUUUUUUACAUGCAUUUUCUAUUCAUGUGCCAAAUUUCAACGAAAAAUAAUUGGGAGCAGAUAUGUUACAAGUCCAAUAUGCACAGACUACAACUGUUCUUUCUACGUGUGCUACGCCUGUUCCAUCUGUACUACCUUUAAACAGUAAAUUUAUGAAUCUGGAAUGUCUCUGAUUGAUUAUUGAGUUCCUCCUAUUCCUAUUUAUAUAAUCUAUUUAAUACUUUUGUGUUUUGUUAUAUGAAGCUUAUAGGUCAUUUCGAACUUAAAAUUAAUAUCAUUUACUAAAAGCCAAGACAUAGAGUAAUUACUAUGUUUCAAAACAUUUUUAUUUUUUAUUUUUUUUAUUAGGUUGGUGGGUUAAAUAUGAUCAUUUAAAUGAGAAAAUGUAUACUAGUGCAGUUUGUAAUCUGGGUGUUAUAACAUCACAACCACAUCUAUGACCAACUCUAAGGUCACGUUAUUUUGUUUGGCAGUGUUUUGGAAUCAAGUUAUGGCAAAAUUUUAUGUAUAAAAUAUAACAAUUACAUUUAAAAAGUGCUUAUUUCUGACAAAAACUUGUAUUUUCUUAAGGGUUAGAUGCUGUUUCAUUACCCCCUCUGGUUCCCAAGAUACACCCUACAUCCAGGCACCAAAAUUAACUUGUAGCCCAUUAGUGCACCUAUCUUGUGAUACCAAGAUAUAGGUAUUUGGAUAAAAAUUGACAAAGUUAUAACAAUUAAAGUGAAAAAAAUAAUUAUUUUGACCACAGUUUCUUCAAUAAUUCCAUAUUCUUGCGGCGAACGUGACGUCACUUUAACUAACUAAACGGCUACCAUUAUGGUAUGGGGGCAAACAAAGCGCUUGAAAAUGAAGAAAUGUGUUUUUGAUUGUUCAAUUAAUGUUAAUAGUCAUCCGAACUUGAUUUGUUAUAUUUUGCUUCCUGAUCCAAAGAGAAGAAAAUCGUGGCUUUAUGCUUUAUAUAAAACUGAUUCAUCUUGCAAAAACAAACUUUGGUCGCAAAACAUGUCUAAGUAUGCUCAAAACAUUUGUAUCUGAAUAUUAUGUACAAAUAAGUCAUUGCAAUAAAUCUCAAGUUAUUAAAGUCAGUGAACAAAUAAGUACUGACAAUUCGUUGACUGGAGUGGAAGAUGUUAGUGUCUUGAACCAACAUGAAACAACAAGUUAACUUAGCUGAGAAUGAUGGUAGUUUAAAAAUAAUGCAGCAUUGGCUAGGAUUGUUCCUAGGUCACAAAAACAAUCUUACAAAUAGAGUUUCUGCUGUUGUCACUAGUUUUAGAGAGUACCUUCGUGAAUGAAGAUAAAAAGUCAUUUAUGUUAUUUUUUAAAAGCCAAGACAUAAUAUUGUUAAUCCUCAUACUAUUUACUAAAAAGCUUUUUAAAUAUU
Molecule: non-coding RNA, 1623 nt
Organism: Hydra vulgaris (swiftwater hydra)
Lineage: Eukaryota; Metazoa; Cnidaria; Hydrozoa; Anthoathecata; Hydridae
Source: RefSeq, a predicted model, not a curated record